GUAAGUUUGGCCGGUAGGUUCCCAGAUGGGGUGGAUGGAGUGGAAAGAGGUAGAACGGGGUUCACAUGAUGGGCUCUAUUCGUCCUCUGACUGUGUUCUAAGAGGCUGGGGACCAUAAAGAGAAGUGAAGAUGGAGGCUGACUUGGACCCAAGACAAGGAGACCUGCCAAACUGACUCUAACCCAAGAACUUGGGGAAGAGGGGCCCCGAUACCAUCAGCUAACAAAGGCAGAAGGAGUCCCUAAUGGCAGAGAGAAGUCUUUCAUUGGAGAAGUGACAGGACCAGCACAUCUGGCAGGAAACAUCUGGUUCUGUCAAUCAGCCCCUGGGAGGCGUCAGUCCCCAAGAAGGGAAAUCCCUGGGUGCCCCACUUUCUGGCCAGUUGGACUCGUAUCAGUACUGGAGGUACUGGAGGGAAGGGCUGGUGAUCGGUGGAUCAGAGGGACAGUCAGUACCCUUUGAGAAGUGAUCUGAUGUCUUUCUCUUCAGAAUCUCAAAACACCCUAUAGAAAGGGAUCCUUGGUUGUCCCUUCAUUUAUUCAACAAUAAUUAUUAAACUUAUUGCAUACCUAA
Sarcophilus harrisii (Tasmanian devil) is the source of this 573-nucleotide long non-coding RNA. RefSeq lists it as uncharacterized. The transcript has 2 exons. The record is from RefSeq and is a predicted model, not a curated record. NCBI's taxonomy places the organism in Eukaryota, Metazoa, Chordata, Mammalia, Dasyuromorphia, Dasyuridae.